RNAcentral lists this ribosomal RNA (154 nucleotides) under uncultured bacterium. RNAcentral's name for it is "partial 16S ribosomal RNA". It matches the Rfam family "Bacterial small subunit ribosomal RNA", at positions 355 to 509 of the family's 1533-position model. The record is from RNAcentral.
UGGGGAAUAUUGCACAAUGGGCGCAAGCCUGAUGCAGCGACGCCGCGUGCGGGAUGGAGGCCUUCGGGUGUAAACCGCUUUUGUUCAAGGGCAAGGCACGGCUUCGGGCCGUGUUGAGUGGAUUGUUCGAAUAAGCACCGGCUAACUACGUGCC